GUUCCAUAAUCGCUGAAUUCUGAUAAGGAACGGGGGAACCAAAGACGCAGCCAUUCCAAAAAAUGGUGAUCGUACGGGGUGAAUCCCACUUGCAAAAAGCUUUGUUUGCAAUGGGGUAGGGCAAUCUCGCUGCCCGAAUCCGACAGCUAACCUCGUAAGCGUAGAAUGAGAGAGGAU
Molecule: small RNA, 177 nt
Filed under: Paenibacillus ferrarius
Lineage: Bacteria; Bacillati; Bacillota; Bacilli; Caryophanales; Paenibacillaceae
Description: c-di-AMP sequence
Rfam family: c-di-AMP riboswitch aptamer (ydaO/yuaA leader)
About the family: This family represents a conserved RNA structure found upstream of the ydaO and yuaA genes in Bacillus subtilis and related genes in other bacteria. The ydaO/yuaA element is thought to act as a genetic "off" switch for the ydaO and yuaA genes in its native state.
Source: Rfam by way of RNAcentral